This 540-nucleotide ribosomal RNA is filed under the name bacterium. RNAcentral's name for it is "bacterial SSU rRNA". It matches the Rfam family "Bacterial small subunit ribosomal RNA", at positions 1 to 545 of the family's 1533-position model. The record is from RNAcentral.
UGGAGAGUUUGAUCCUGGCUCAGAAUAAACGCUGGCGGCGUGCUUAACACAUGCAAGUCGAACGUGAAAGUCCUUCGGGAUGAGUAAAGUGGCGGACGGGUGAGUAACGCGUGGGAAUCUGCCUUUUAGUGAAGGAUACCGUUGGGAAACUGACGUUAAUACUGCAUACGUCUCGAAAGAGAGAAAGAUGGCCUCUUUGCUGUCGCUAAAAGAUGAGCCUGCGUGCUAUUAGCUAGUUGGUGGGGUAAAGGCCUACCAAGGCUAUGAUGGCUAACCGGCCUGAGAGGGUGUACGGUCACAUUGGAACUGAGAAACGGUCCAAACUCCUACGGGAGGCAGCAGUGAGGAAUAUUGCACAAUGGGCGAAAGCCUGAUGCAGCGACGCCGCGUGGAGGAUGACGGUCUUCGGAUUGUAAACUCCUGUUAAGUGGGGCAAAAGAGCUUCUGUUAAUAGCAGAGGAAGAUGAUGGUACCACUAGAGAAAGCACCGGCUAACUUCGUGCCAGCAGCCGCGGUAAUACGAAGGGUGCGAGCGUUAUU